RNAcentral lists this non-coding RNA (45 nucleotides) under Schistosoma haematobium. The record is from RNAcentral. Lineage: Eukaryota; Metazoa; Platyhelminthes; Trematoda; Strigeidida; Schistosomatidae.
AUUCAGCUGACGAGUCCAGAAUAGAACGAAACAGACGUCCUGGAU